UUGAGAAGAAGGUUAUGAGAGGAGGAAAUUUCUCAAAAGAAUCAAUAGAAAGGUGGCGGAGGAGGUGAAGCGUAUGACACUCCAAUUACUGGUGGCAAUGGUCCCUCAUACACAGGAGCUGGAGGGGGUGACAGUGAUGGUGGUGGAGGUGAAUGGUAAAUAACUGGAGGUGGUGGUGGAGGUGAGGAAUAUGUUACAACGGGUGGCGGUGGUGAAGGUGAUGGGGGUGGCUUGUAAUGAAUUGGGGGAGGGGGCGAUGGGGAUGGUGGUGGUGGCGAGUACUCUACGCAUGGUGGUGGUGGCGGUGGAGGAGGUUCUAUACAUGGUGGAGGUGAAGGUGGUGGUGGAGAGUGAACCGGAGGAGGUGGGGAAUAAACAGGGGGUGGUGGCGGCGGCGGUGAUAAAUAUGGAUAAAUUGGAGGAGGGGAGUGUGGAGGCGGUGGUGGAGAAUGUGGUGGGGGUGGGGGUGAAUGAUGUGGCGGUGGAGGUGACUGAUGUGGUGGUGGAGGGGAGUUAUAGUAGUAAGGAACUGGUGGCGGCGGGGAGAACAAUGGAGGGGGUGGAGGUGGUGAAUUUGGUGGUGGAGGUGGGGACCUCACACAAUAUAUUGGCGCAGGUGGUGGGGGUGAAGGGGGCGGUGGUGACGGAUAAGUAGGUGGCGGGGGUGAAGGUGGUGGAGGUGAUGGAUAUGUAGGGGGUGGGGGUGAAGGAGGUGGUGGUGAGGGCGGUGGAGGUGAUGGUGGUGGAGGAGGUGGAGGUGGAGAGUAAACAGGCGGUGGUGGUGGCGGAGGCGAAGGAGGAGGAGGCGAGGGCGGUGGUGGGGGAGGUGAAAAAACUGGUGGGGGAGGGGGAGGUGGAGAGAAAACGGGUGGUGGAGGUGAAGGAGGGGGAGGGGGAGGGAGAGGGGGAGAGGAUAUAGGGGGUGGAGGUGGUGGUAGUGAUGGUGGUGGCAAAGCAACAGGGGGAGAAGGCACCGGAAUUGGCGGAGACGGCGGAGGAGGGGAAGGUAAAGAAGGAACAAAAGGAGCACAUUUAAAUGAAUUGCAGUCCACUGGCCUAGACAAGAAAGACUUACAUUGCGCCGCGCUUCUUUGCAAAGGUCUCGCAGGCAAGCAAUUUCUUCUAUCAUCAAAUGCACGUAAGUUCAAGCAAACCG
RNAcentral lists this long non-coding RNA (1156 nucleotides) under Gossypium raimondii (Peruvian cotton). RNAcentral's name for it is "long non-coding RNA (GRAI_LNC006854)". The record is from RNAcentral. Lineage: Eukaryota; Viridiplantae; Streptophyta; Magnoliopsida; Malvales; Malvaceae.